UCCUGGUUAACCCAGGCAGUCUCAUUAGAGUUCCCACCUUUACGUGUUGGCAACUAAUGAUAAGGGUUGCGCUCGUUGCGGGACUUAACCCAACACCUCACGGCACGAGCUGACGACAGCCAUGCAGCACCUGUAUAGCAGUCCCGAAGGAAAGCACUAUUUCUAGUGCGGUCUACUAUAUGUCAAGUCUGGGUAAGGUUCUUCGCGUUGCAUCGAAUUAAACCACAUGCUCCACUGCUUGUGCGGGUCCCCGUCAAUUCUUUUGAGUUUCACCCUUGCGAGCGUACUCCCCAGGCGGUAUACUUAUCGCGUUAGCUACGACACAACCAGGGUUGAGUCCGGUUACAUCAAGUAUACAUAGUUUACAGUAAGGACUAC
Molecule: unclassified non-coding RNA, 378 nt
Filed under: uncultured Parachlamydiaceae bacterium
Lineage: Bacteria; Pseudomonadati; Chlamydiota; Chlamydiia; Parachlamydiales; Parachlamydiaceae
Description: contains 16S-23S intergenic spacer region
Source: RNAcentral